This 280-nucleotide ribosomal RNA is filed under the name uncultured bacterium. RNAcentral's name for it is "partial 16S ribosomal RNA". It matches the Rfam family "Bacterial small subunit ribosomal RNA", at positions 15 to 296 of the family's 1533-position model. The record is from RNAcentral.
GAUCCUGGCUCAGGAUGAACGCUGGCGGCGCGCCUAACACAUGCAAGUCGAACGGCACCCCUCUCCGGAGGGAAGCGAGUGGCGAACGGCUGAGUAACACGUGGAGAACCUGCCCCCCUCCCCCCGGGAUAGCCGCCCGAAAGGACGGGUAAUACCGGAUACCCCGGGGUGCCGCAUGGCACCCCGGCUAAAGCCCCGACGGGAGGGGAUGGCUCCGCGGCCCAUCAGGUAGACGGCGGGGUGACGGCCCACCGUGCCGACAACGGGUAGCCGGGUUGAG